Dipodomys ordii (Ord's kangaroo rat) is the source of this 73-nucleotide non-coding RNA. Lineage: Eukaryota; Metazoa; Chordata; Mammalia; Rodentia; Heteromyidae. The record is from Rfam.
AGUAAGGUGGCUCAGUGGUAGAGUGCUUGCCUUGCAUACAUGAGGCCCUGGGUUCGAUUCCUCAGUCCCACAA